CAGCAGAAGAACAUUGGGCCAGAAAAAAGCAUUGAGCUUGAGGGACUAGACUAAUCAAAAAAUGGAAUAACAUGGCAACAAUUACACUGAUGAGUGAGAGGGAAGCUACAGAUGCAUUCAGACACCUAUGGCACCACAGACUCAACGCAUUCAGCAUUUUGUGUUUAGUGUCUUGUGUUUUUGAGAGCAGAGUCUCAUUCCAUCACCCAGGCUGGAGUGCAGCGGCGUGAUCUUGGCAACCUCCACCUCCCAGGCUCAAGAAAUCCUCCCACCUCAGCCUCCCAAUAGCUGGAUCUACAGGCGUACACCACCACAAUCAGCUGUAUUUUUUGUAGAGACUGGGUUUCGCCAUGUUGCCCAGGGUGGUCAUGAACUUGUGAGCUCAAGUGAUCUGCCCGCCUCAGCCUCCCAAAGUGCUGGGAUUACAGGCAUGAGCCACCGCCCCUGGCCUAAUAAAAUUUAUUUUUAAAAAAGGAC
This 477-nucleotide long non-coding RNA is filed under the name Homo sapiens (human). Its description in RNAcentral is "non-protein coding LINC00609:7". The record is from RNAcentral. Lineage: Eukaryota; Metazoa; Chordata; Mammalia; Primates; Hominidae.